CCAACAAACUUGUCUGUGGUGGCCUAGGG
Molecule: non-coding RNA, 29 nt
Filed under: Homo sapiens (human)
Lineage: Eukaryota; Metazoa; Chordata; Mammalia; Primates; Hominidae
Source: RNAcentral